UAACACCAGCCCCUCGAGUGGUGGGGAUGAUUAUUUGGCCUAAAGCGUCCGUAGCCGGCCGAGCAAGUCUUCCGUUAAAUCCAGCGUCUCAAGCGUUGGACCGCGGGAGAUACUACACGGCUAGAGAGUGGGAGAGGUCAGCGGUAUUCUGGGGGUAGGGGCGAAAUCCUUUGAUCCCCGGAGGACCACCAGUGGCGAAGGCUGCUGACUAGAACACGUCUGACGGUCAGGGACGAAAGCUGGGGUAGCGAACCGGAUUAGAUACCCGGGUAGUCCCAGCCGUAAACGAUGCAUGCUAGGUGUUGGGUUGGCCACGAGCCACCCCAGUGCCGCAGGGAAGCCGUUAAGCAUGCCGCCUGGGAAGUACGAUCGCAAGAUUG
Molecule: ribosomal RNA, 380 nt
Filed under: uncultured archaeon
Lineage: Archaea
Description: bacterial SSU rRNA
Rfam family: Archaeal small subunit ribosomal RNA
Source: RNAcentral